AAACUGCUGAAAAGUUCCAUACUAGGACGAAACGGCCGUUCAGUGU
Schistosoma mattheei is the source of this 46-nucleotide non-coding RNA. The record is from Rfam. NCBI's taxonomy places the organism in Eukaryota, Metazoa, Platyhelminthes, Trematoda, Strigeidida, Schistosomatidae.